GAUUAAGUUAUUAAGGGCGCACGGUGGAUGCCUUGGCACUAGAAGCCGAUGAAGGACGUUACUAACGACGAUAUGCUUUGGGGAGCUGUAAGUAAGCUUUGAUCCAGAGAUUUCCGAAUGGGGAAACCCAGCAUGAGUUAUGUCAUGUUAUCGAUAUGUGAAUACAUAGCAUAUCAGAAGGCACACCCGGAGAACUGAAACAUCUUAGUACCCGGAGGAAGAGAAAGAAAAUUCGAUUCCCUUAGUAGCGGCGAGCGAAACGGGAAGAGCCCAAACCAACAAGCUUGCUUGUUGGGGUUGUAGGACACUCUAUACGGAGUUACAAAGGACGACAUUAGACGAAUCAUCUGGAAAGAUGAAUCAAAGAAGGUAAUAAUCCUGUAGUCGAAAAUGUUGUCUCUCUUGAGUGGAUCCUGAGUACGACGGAGCACGUGAAAUUCCGUCGGAAUCUGGGAGGACCAUCUCCUAAGGCUAAAUACUCUCUAGUGACCGAUAGUGAACCAGUACCGUGAGGGAAAGGUGAAAAGCACCCCGGAAGGGGAGUGAAAUAGAACCUGAAACCGUGUGCUUACAAGUAGUCAGAGCCCGUUAAUGGGUGAUGGCGUGCCUUUUGUAGAAUGAACCGGCGAGUUACGAUUUGAUGCAAGGUUAAGCAGUAAAUGUGGAGCCGUAGCGAAAGCGAGUCUGAAUAGGGCGUUUAGUAUUUGGUCGUAGACCCGAAACCAGGUGAUCUACCCUUGGUCAGGUUGAAGUUCAGGUAACACUGAAUGGAGGACCGAACCGACUUACGUUGAAAAGUGAGCGGAUGAACUGAGGGUAGCGGAGAAAUUCCAAUCGAACCUGGAGAUAGCUGGUUCUCUCCGAAAUAGCUUUAGGGCUAGCCUCAAGUGAUGAUUAUUGGAGGUAGAGCACUGUUUGGACGAGGGGCCCCUCUCGGGUUACCGAAUUCAGACAAACUCCGAAUGCCAAUUAAUUUAACUUGGGAGUCAGAACAUGGGUGAUAAGGUCCGUGUUCGAAAGGGAAACAGCCCAGACCACCAGCUAAGGUCCCAAAAUAUAUGUUAAGUGGAAAAGGAUGUGGCGUUGCCCAGACAACUAGGAUGUUGGCUUAGAAGCAGCCAUCAUUUAAAGAGUGCGUAAUAGCUCACUAGUCGAGUGACACUGCGCCGAAAAUGUACCGGGGCUAAACAUAUUACCGAAGCUGUGGAUUGUCCUUUGGACAAUGGUAGGAGAGCGUUCUAAGGGCGUUGAAGCAUGAUCGUAAGGACAUGUGGAGCGCUUAGAAGUGAGAAUGCCGGUGUGAGUAGCGAAAGACGGGUGAGAAUCCCGUCCACCGAUUGACUAAGGUUUCCAGAGGAAGGCUCGUCCGCUCUGGGUUAGUCGGGUCCUAAGCUGAGGCCGACAGGCGUAGGCGAUGGAUAACAGGUUGAUAUUCCUGUACCACCUAUAAUCGUUUUAAUCGAUGGGGGGACGCAGUAGGAUAGGCGAAGCGUGCGAUUGGAUUGCACGUCUAAGCAGUAAGGCUGAGUAUUAGGCAAAUCCGGUACUCGUUAAGGCUGAGCUGUGAUGGGGAGAAGACAUUGUGUCUUCGAGUCGUUGAUUUCACACUGCCGAGAAAAGCCUCUAGAUAGAAAAUAGGUGCCCGUACCGCAAACCGACACAGGUAGUCAAGAUGAGAAUUCUAAGGUGAGCGAGCGAACUCUCGUUAAGGAACUCGGCAAAAUGACCCCGUAACUUCGGGAGAAGGGGUGCUCUUUAGGGUUAACGCCCAGAAGAGCCGCAGUGAAUAGGCCCAAGCGACUGUUUAUCAAAAACACAGGUCUCUGCUAAACCGUAAGGUGAUGUAUAGGGGCUGACGCCUGCCCGGUGCUGGAAGGUUAAGAGGAGUGGUUAGCUUCUGCGAAGCUACGAAUCGAAGCCCCAGUAAACGGCGGCCGUAACUAUAACGGUCCUAAGGUAGCGAAAUUCCUUGUCGGGUAAGUUCCGACCCGCACGAAAGGCGUAACGAUUUGGGCACUGUCUCAACGAGAGACUCGGUGAAAUCAUAGUACCUGUGAAGAUGCAGGUUACCCGCGACAGGACGGAAAGACCCCGUGGAGCUUUACUGUAGCCUGAUAUUGAAAUUCGGCACAGCUUGUACAGGAUAGGUAGGAGCCUUUGAAACGUGAGCGCUAGCUUACGUGGAGGCGCUGGUGGGAUACUACCCUAGCUGUGUUGGCUUUCUAACCCGCACCACUUAUCGUGGUGGGAGACAGUGUCAGGCGGGCAGUUUGACUGGGGCGGUCGCCUCCUAAAAGGUAACGGAGGCGCUCAAAGGUUCCCUCAGAAUGGUUGGAAAUCAUUCAUAGAGUGUAAAGGCAUAAGGGAGCUUGACUGCGAGACCUACAAGUCGAGCAGGGUCGAAAGACGGACUUAGUGAUCCGGUGGUUCCGCAUGGAAGGGCCAUCGCUCAACGGAUAAAAGCUACCCCGGGGAUAACAGGCUUAUCUCCCCCAAGAGUUCACAUCGACGGGAGGUUUGGCACCUCGAUGUCGGCUCAUCGCAUCCUGGGGCUGUAGUCGGUCCCAAGGGUUGGGCUGUUCGCCCAUUAAAGCGGUACGCGAGCUGGGUUCAGAACGUCGUGAGACAGUUCGGUCCCUAUCCGUCGUGGGCGUAGGAAAUUUGAGAGGAGCUGUCCUUAGUACGAGAGGACCGGGAUGGACAUACCUCUGGUGUACCAGUUGUCGUGCCAACGGCAUAGCUGGGUAGCUAUGUGUGGACGGGAUAAGUGCUGAAAGCAUCUAAGCAUGAAGCCCCCCUCAAGAUGAGAUUUCCCAACUUCGGUUAUAAGAUC
RNAcentral lists this ribosomal RNA (2833 nucleotides) under Staphylococcus aureus. RNAcentral describes it as "LSU rRNA". It matches the Rfam family "Bacterial large subunit ribosomal RNA". Lineage: Bacteria; Bacillati; Bacillota; Bacilli; Caryophanales; Staphylococcaceae. The record is from RNAcentral.